AAGCAGGCAGAGAUGGAGGUUCGCUUCCUGAGAGAAGAGAAGACCUGUACAGAGAAGGAAGCCCACAUGCUUGAGUUGAGGGGGAAGGAUCAAACGAUCCGAAAUCAGAAGAAGGAGACGGACAGACUUCAAGUGUGCCUGUGGGAGGAGGAAAAGAAGAAGAGGAAUGGUGGAACGGAGAAGGACAAGAUCAUUGAACAACUACAGUCUGAGACAGACCAUCUCAGAGCCCUUUUAGAAGAAGAGUAGAAAGGGGUAUAAUGAAAGAGUGGAAAGCUGAGUCAGAGAGCCAGAGGGAGUCAGAGAGGGAGUCAGAGAGGGAGGCAGAGAGGGAGGCAGAGAGAGCCACAGAAUGGGAGGAGAACCAGAGAAAAAUGCAGAUCAACAGACUCAAACAACUGCUGGAUCUACUGAUGGUGGACCUACAACUGGCCCACUCAGAGAGAGAGAGAAGAUAAGAGGCAACGAAAAGAGAGGAGAUGGAAGAAGAGGAAAGAAGGGAGAUCCUUGAGUACAAGAGGGGUGACUUAGAGGAGAAGGAAGAUGACAAGGAGGACAUUCUCCCACCUGACAAAAGUAUCCGAAGGAGAGCUGUGGGCUGGAUAAAUAAGAAGUGGGAGAAGAGGAACCUCAGAAAGAUAGAGAGAACGUAUCAGAGAGAGGCUGAGGAGGGCUAUAAGAUCGUCCACAUAGAACCAGCAGGAGGGGCCAGAGAACCAACAGGAGGGGCCAGACAGCCAGCAGCUUGAAGCUCCAGAAGAGAUUGAAACAUCAGAGCCAAUCUCCAAGAACAAGAAAAAGCCAAGCAUCUGGAAGAAAAUUAGGAUGGGGUAAAGAAUGUUUAAACAUCUAUUCAUGUUUUACACUGUUAAUAUACAUGUUGUCACUUUAAAAAGUGACGUUAUCCAAAUGUGAGGGUUUAGUGUACAUGCAACACACAUGU
Long non-coding RNA from Oncorhynchus masou masou (cherry salmon), 943 nucleotides. RefSeq lists it as uncharacterized. The record is from RefSeq and is a predicted model, not a curated record. The transcript has 3 exons. NCBI's taxonomy places the organism in Eukaryota, Metazoa, Chordata, Actinopteri, Salmoniformes, Salmonidae.